GAUGAACGCUAGCUACAGGCUUAACACAUGCAAGUCGAGGGGCAGCAUGAAGUCAGCUUGCUGACUUUGAUGGCGACCGGCGCACGGGUGAGUAACGCGUAUCCAACCUUCCCGUUACUCAGGGAUAGCCUUCCGAAAGGGAGAUUAAUACCUGAUGGUGUUGAAAUUCCGCAUGUUAUUUCAACUAAAGAUUUAUCGGUAACGGAUGGGGAUGCGUGACAUUAGAUAGUAGGCGGGGUAACGGCCCACCUAGUCUACGAUGUCUAGGGGUUCUGAGAGGAAGGUCCCCCACACUGGAACUGAGACACGGUCCAGACUCCUACGGGAGGCAGCAGUAGGGAAUAUUGCACAAAUGGGGGGAACCCUGAUGCAGCCAUGCCGCGUGUGUGAAGAAGGCC
Molecule: ribosomal RNA, 398 nt
Filed under: uncultured bacterium
Lineage: Bacteria
Description: bacterial SSU rRNA
Rfam family: Bacterial small subunit ribosomal RNA
Source: RNAcentral